RNAcentral lists this long non-coding RNA (1539 nucleotides) under Gallus gallus (chicken). Lineage: Eukaryota; Metazoa; Chordata; Aves; Galliformes; Phasianidae. The record is from RNAcentral.
CAAAACCCAAAAGGCAUCGCUAUUUGUUCUACAUAAAAAAAUCUCAUAACUAAUGUUCUUUUUUUUUUUUUCUUUUCUUUUUUUUUUUAUCUCCUCGUCGUCGUCGUUUAAAAUAAAAAAAAAAAGAGGAAUAUUAAGCUUAGGCACAAUUUUGCUGCUGGCUGCUUGUGAACAAGCCAAGAGAACACGCCACCCCCUCCUAACUGAGUGAUAUGUAUUGACUGUUCCGCGCUUUAUACUUAAGGCAAUUUUCUGUUUUGUUUGCUUUCGUUUCAGACAAAGUGUUUCAUUUCCACCCCUUACGUCACGCCAGGAUCCGUCCACGUGUGUCAGUAUGAGCAGGACUAAAGUUCAUGGUUCGGGAAGGUCGCAGAUCACAGCGAGGGUUUGCAUCCUACGGGUCUCUGCAUCCGGAGGAACAAAAGGAUCUUUACAUGUGUCCAACGGGGUUGUGACCGUCUCCGAGACCAGGAUGAGAAGCUGAAAGCGUCAUCUGGGGGUCUCCCACCACUCCGGACACUUUCUCCUCUUCCCGACGCUUCAAGCAGGCCGCUUUGGGGUUCAGAUUGCGCUCUCGUACUUGCUGCUCCAGGCCCAGAAUGACCUGCACCGCUUGCUGGAGGAUGAUCAGUUUGGUCUGUGCUUUGUCCGUUUUUAAGUGCAUCUGACACAUGCGUCCCAGUUCCUUAAAGGCCUCGUUAAUGUCCCGCACGCGCACCCUCUCCCUGGCGUUAUUGGCCAUUCUCCUCUCCCGGUCCCUCAGAUCUUUGUCCUCCAGUGAUAAGGCCUCGUCUGUACUGCUUGUUCUAUUCCGGGAGGGUUUCAGCUCCUUCUUCUCCUCUUCAGAGUUAUCCGCCACUGAUGUGUUCUCCUCAUCCUCCUUCUCUUCCCUCUUUAUCUCGUUGGUUCCCGAGGAGACGCUGCUUCGCCCCAGCCCCCCUGACAAGCCACUGUACGUGUCCUGCUGCCUGUUGAGGUCGGGGAGUGAGCUGGGCUGUGACGGAAGUGUGACAUGGUUGUGGAGCAUGCUGGGGGUGCUGGACAGCCCGUCUUCAGGGUGACCUCCUCCCACCAGGCUGGGGUGCCGGCCCCCCAGGGACAUGACGGAGGCAGGGAAGGCCUGGCCCAGGCUGCCCACAGCAGCACUGUGUGCGGGUGCAGAGCCCAGCAGCCCAUGCAUGUCCCCGUGGUUGCUCGGCAUGGCGGCCGUCUGGCCCACGGCGUGAUUCCUCAGCACGUGGAUGGCUUCGUCCAACCUGUCUUCCAUUUUGUUUUGUAAAGUGUGGAGGCUCCCUUCGUAGCUGGGAGAUAAGGCACCCUGUCCGCCCGCUCGAGACCACUGGGAUGUGCCUGCAAGGCCCUGCGGGGAGCCGACCGGCGUGGAGGGGUUUGAUGAGAAGUUAUUGCUAGAGUGAUCUGGGGAAUAAAUUGAAGCUAGUGCCUUCCCAAGAGCGUCUCCCGAGCUCCCAGCCGUGGUUCCUCUGUUACCCAUCAUGGUGUCGGUCCCGCUGAUCGGCGGUGUGUGGCUGGAGACGCCGU